AUCAUUUUUAUCUUCAGCUUCUGUUGUUUAUUCUUAUGACAAAGAUGAUAGCCAACGUUCUAAGCCUUUGUUAGUUCAGAUGGAUUGCAAUUAUCAUGGAUAUGUUGCAGGUUUUCCAAAUUCUCGUGUGUCACUCAACACUUGUUCAGGACUCAGGGGGACAUUGCAGUUUAAAAACAUCUCAUAUGGAAUCGAACCCAUGGAGGCUUUAUCUGGAUUUGUGCACAUGAUUUAUAAGGAAAAAAAUGAUAACACUAAUAUUCCCCUCUUAGGAGACAAUGACACUUACAGCCGU
Molecule: non-coding RNA, 295 nt
Organism: Ceratotherium simum simum (southern white rhinoceros)
Lineage: Eukaryota; Metazoa; Chordata; Mammalia; Perissodactyla; Rhinocerotidae
Source: RefSeq, a predicted model, not a curated record